This 801-nucleotide ribosomal RNA is filed under the name Triticum aestivum (bread wheat). Its description in RNAcentral is "partial small subunit ribosomal RNA". The record is from RNAcentral. Lineage: Eukaryota; Viridiplantae; Streptophyta; Magnoliopsida; Poales; Poaceae.
GGAAUUGCCGUGACCCAGUCUCCUUCCGGACUCUUUCUCUCUCAACGUCAGUAUGUCCUCGAUCUCCUCUCUAAAGCCGGUAUGUCCGACUGCCAUUCCUCCUCCACACCUGCUGCCCCCGGUUCAAAGCUUUCCGCCAAAGGUGACCCAUAUCCUGAUCCUACUAUCUACCGUAGCAUCACCGGUGCUCUUCAAUACAUGACUCUUACUCGUCCAGAAAUCACAUACGCUGUCCAGCAAGCCUGUUUGUAUAUGCAUGACCCUCGUCUCCCUCACUUCAACCAUGUCAAACGUAUCUUGCGUUAUCUCAAGGGUACUCUCGAUCAUGGUCUUUCUAUUUCACCCUCCGCACCAACAUCCCUAACCGCGUACUCUGAUGCAGACUGGGCUGGAUGCCCAGACACUCGUAGAUCUACUUCUAGCUAUUGUGUAUACUUGGGUGAUAACUUGAUUUCAUGGUCGUCAAAGAGACAACUAACAGUUUCCAGGUCAUCUACUGAAGCCGAGUUCCGCUCUGUUGCACAUGCUGUCGCUGAAACAGUGUGGCUUCGUCAACUCCUCCAAGAGCUGCAUCGGCCUCUUCACCAAGCUACUGUCGUGUACUGUGAUAAUAUCUCUGCUGUGUACAUGUCUUGUAAUCCUGUACAGCAUCGUCGUACAAAACACAUAGAGAUAGAUAUUCACUUUGUUAGAGAAAAGGUAGCUCUAGGUGAUGUUCGCGUUCUCCAUGUUCCAACCAGCGCCCAAUUUGCUGACAUCUUCACCAAGGACUACCAACAGCAGCCUUCGUCGACAUUCGUG